Molecule: ribosomal RNA, 468 nt
Filed under: uncultured bacterium
Lineage: Bacteria
Description: partial 16S ribosomal RNA
Rfam family: Bacterial small subunit ribosomal RNA
Source: RNAcentral
GACGAACGCUGGCGGCGUGCUUAACACAUGCAAGUCGAACGGAAAGGCCCUGCUUUUGUGGGGUGCUCGAGUGGCGAACGAGUGAGUAACACGUGAGUAACCUGCCCUUGACUUUGGGAUAACUUCAGGAAACUGGGGCUAAUACCGGAUAGGAGCUCCUGCUGCAUGGUGGGGGUUGGAAAGUUUCGGCGGUUGGGGAUGGACUCGCGGCUUAUCAGCUUGUUGGUGGGGUAGUGGCUUACCAAGGCUUUGACGGGUAGCCGGCCUGAGAGGGUGACCGGCCACAUUGGGACUGAGAUACGGCCCAGACUCCUACGGGAGGCAGCAGUGGGGAAUAUUGCACAAUGGGCGGAAGCCUGAUGCAGCAACGCCGCGUGCGGGAUGACGGCCUUCGGGUUGUAAACCGCUUUCGCCUGUGACGAAGCGUGAGUGACGGUAAUGGGUAAAGAAGCACCGGCUAACUACGUG